RNAcentral lists this ribosomal RNA (266 nucleotides) under uncultured bacterium. RNAcentral's name for it is "partial 16S ribosomal RNA". It matches the Rfam family "Bacterial small subunit ribosomal RNA", at positions 88 to 354 of the family's 1533-position model. The record is from RNAcentral.
CAUCUUAGUGGCGGACGGGUGAGUAACGCGUGGGUAACCUGCCUUAUACAGGGGGAUAACACUUAGAAAUAGGUGCUAAUACCGCAUAAGCGCACGGGGCUGCAUGGCCCAGUGUGAAAAACUCCGGUGGUAUAAGAUGGACCCGCGUCUGAUUAGCUUGUUGGCGGGGUAACGGCCCACCAAGGCGACGAUCAGUAGCCGGCCUGAGAGGGUGGACGGCCACAUUGGGACUGAGACACGGCCCAAACUCCUACGGAAGGCAGCAG